AGAGUUUGAUCAUGGCUCAGGAUGAACGCUAGCUACAGGCUUAACACAUGCAAGUCGAGGGGCAGCAUGUUGGUUGCUUGCAACCAAUGAUGGCGACCGGCGCACGGGUGAGUAACGCGUAUCCAACCUACCCUUGUCCAUCGGAUAACCCGUCGAAAGGCGGCCUAACACGAUAUGCGGUUCACAGCAGGCAUCUAAGGUGAACGAAAUGUGAAGGAGAAGGAUGGGGAUGCGUCUGAUUAGCUUGUUGGCGGGUAACGCCACAAGGCUACGAUCAGUAGGGUUCUGAGAGGAACGGUCCCCANAUUGGAACUGAGACACGGUCCAAACUCCGUACGGGAGCA
RNAcentral lists this ribosomal RNA (344 nucleotides) under uncultured bacterium. RNAcentral describes it as "bacterial SSU rRNA". It matches the Rfam family "Bacterial small subunit ribosomal RNA", at positions 8 to 349 of the family's 1533-position model. The record is from RNAcentral.